GGCAGCAGUGGGGAAUAUUGCACAAUGGGCGCAAGCCUGAUGCAGCCAUGCCGCGUGUGUGAAGAAGGCCCUCGGGUUGUAAAGCACUUUCAGUGGGGAGGAAACGUUUAACGUUAAUAGCGUUGGGACUUGACGUUACCCACAGAAGAAGCACCGGCUAACUCCGUGCCAGCAGCCGCGGUAAUACGGAGGGUGCGAGCGUUAAUCGGAAUUACUGGGCGUAAAGCGCGCGUAGGCGGUUUGUUAAGUCGGAUGUGAAAUCCCCGGGCUCAACCUGGGGACUGCAUCCGAUACUGGCAGGCUAGAGUACGGGAGAGGGUUGUGGAAUUCCACGUGUAGCGGUGAAAUGCGUAGAGAUGUGGAAGGAACACCAGUGGCGAAAGCGAC
RNAcentral lists this ribosomal RNA (387 nucleotides) under uncultured Gammaproteobacteria bacterium. RNAcentral describes it as "bacterial SSU rRNA". It matches the Rfam family "Bacterial small subunit ribosomal RNA", at positions 347 to 725 of the family's 1533-position model. The record is from RNAcentral. Lineage: Bacteria; Pseudomonadati; Pseudomonadota; Gammaproteobacteria.